This is a long non-coding RNA of Tympanuchus pallidicinctus (lesser prairie-chicken), 1705 nucleotides long. RefSeq lists it as uncharacterized. The record is from RefSeq and is a predicted model, not a curated record. NCBI's taxonomy places the organism in Eukaryota, Metazoa, Chordata, Aves, Galliformes, Phasianidae. The transcript is spliced from 3 exons.
CUAGACCUAUUUAAGAGCUGGCUACCAGUAGGGAAGGAUCUCUUCUGGGGAUCCCUCCUCUAGAGUUUUGCAGUGAGCUCAGGCUUACAAAUUAUAAUGAAAAAACUGCAACUGUUGUCCAGGGGCCAGCACUCUGUUGGCUGCCAGGGGUUGGUGUGAGGGCUAGUUGGAUGAAGGACAGCUGGAAAGUCAUAGAAAGAUACAGAAAAACUGAAGCUGUGCAUCAGAAAGCAAACAAGUGAAACAGCAACUAUAGUACAGUGUUGGUUUAUGUGGUAUGUGCUUUGAGAAACCACAUAAAAGCAAAGCAUCAUACAGAAGAAUGUGAAGGAAGACAAAAUAAAUUAUUCUGAAAUCACUGAGAAAGUGAAUUUUAAGGUGGAGAUUACUGAGAGAAAACACUGGGGUGGAAAUGGAAAAUAAAUAGGUCAAGAUUGACAUCACUUAGGGUGCGAAGGAAGGGCUUACAAAUCAACUGAAUAUUAAACAUUACACAGGGUAAGUCUCAGUCAUGAAGUACUUUUCCAGUGAAGACCAAUCAAGUUAUAUUGCUGUACAGCAUUAUGAAAGAAAGGCAGAGAUGCUGUGAUAAAAGUAGCAAACCAGGUCAAUUAUCUGCUUAACAUGCUUUGUAUUGGAUGGGGAAUACUCAUCACGAUCAAAACUGAGACCUUCUUAACUUGUUCACAAGUUGUUUUACAGUUAUAAAUGUGAAAAUAGAGAACCCAUGAGAAAGAAGGCUAGAAAUAAAAUAUUUCUACUUUAGGACCAAGCCACAGUAGCAUCUGAGAAGCUAGACACAUAUUGCAGAAACUCUUCCCUGUUUUCAGACUUGAUUAGAGACUGGUCUGUCAGGAAAAGGAGGAUUUCAGCUUUAAAAUGAGCCUUUGGAAACACUGCCCAAGUGUGAAUACUAAUCUUGCAUCCAGUGUACAACUUGACCAUGACAAAAGUAGGAGCCAAAGUAUUAAGUUGCUCUCCUUAAAUGUGUGAAGUCAUGGUGCAGAGAAACAAAACUGGAGUAAGCCUUGGUCUUUCAUAUCUCUCUGGACUUUUCUUACCAGCCCAGGAUCUUAAAAUCAUAGAAUCACAGAAACACAGAACAGUUUGGGUUGGAAUGGUCCUCAAGGAUCACAAAGUUCCACCUCCCAGCCACAGACAGCAUUGCCAGCUCUUAGAUCAAGUACUAGACCAGGCUGCCCAGGGCCCCAUCCAACCUGACCUUAAACACCUCCAGGGAUGGGGCAUCCACAACCUCUCUGGGCAGCCUGUUUCAGCACUUCACCAGUGUCGCAGUAAAAUGCUUUCCCCAACAUCUAAUAAAAAUGUUGUUCUUGUGCAAUUAUAAACAUAACAAAUACCCUUUUAAAAUGUAGAAACUAUGCAUUUUUGUUGUUUGUUUGUUGUUUUCCUUUUGUUGCUGUAACUGCUUUGAUAACACUGGCAUUUUUAGGGAGACUACAUAAUGUCCAGAAAGUUGAUUUGCCAUGAGGUCUAUUUUCUUUUACUCAUUGACCAGAUGUAGAGUGUUACAGGAAUAUUCAUCAAAAAUCAAGAUUGUAACUGAACACACAACUUAAUAAGAUGAAAGGCAAUGGAUGAGCCUGGAAAAACCAGCACAGUCUGAAUUCCCCUUUAGGGAACCUUGGACUCUUGUUCUGGGUAGCUGAACUGAGAAUGUGAUGCACUUUGCUGUAUGUCAUGC